Molecule: ribosomal RNA, 305 nt
Filed under: uncultured bacterium
Lineage: Bacteria
Description: partial 16S ribosomal RNA
Rfam family: Bacterial small subunit ribosomal RNA
Source: RNAcentral
ACAGCAGUCGCCGCGGUAAUACAGAGGGUGCAAGCGUUAAUCGGAAUUACUGGGCGUAAAGCGUGCGCAGACGGUUACAUAAGUCGGGUGUGAAAGCCCCGGGCUCAACCUGGGAAUUGCAUUCGAGACUGUGUAGCUAGGGUACGGAAGAGGGAAGCGGAAUUUCAGGUGUAGCGGUGAAAUGCGUAGAUAUCUGAAGGAACACCAGUGGCGAAAGCGGCUUCCUGGUCCAGUACCGACGUUCAGGCACGAAAGCGUGGGGAGCAAACAGGAUUAGAUACCCGGGUAGUCCCUGUCUCUUAUAA